Molecule: ribosomal RNA, 301 nt
Filed under: uncultured bacterium
Lineage: Bacteria
Description: partial 16S ribosomal RNA
Rfam family: Bacterial small subunit ribosomal RNA
Source: RNAcentral
CAGUCGCCACGGUAAUACGAAGGGGGCUAGCGUUACUCGGAAUUACUGGGCGUAAAGGGCGCGUAGGCGGCACGAUUAGUCAGGCGUGAAAUUCCUGGGCUCAACCUGGGGACUGCGCUUGAUACGGUCGAGCUAGAGGAUGGAAGAGGGUUGUGGAAUUCCCAGUGUAGAGGUGAAAUUCGUAGAUAUUGGGAAGAACUCCGGUGGCGAAGGCGGCAACCUGGUCCAUUACUGACGCUGAGGCGCGACAGCGUGGGGAGCAAACAGGAUUAGAUACCCCAGUAGUCCCUGUCUCUUAUAA